RNAcentral lists this ribosomal RNA (497 nucleotides) under uncultured bacterium. RNAcentral's name for it is "partial 16S ribosomal RNA". It matches the Rfam family "Bacterial small subunit ribosomal RNA", at positions 28 to 507 of the family's 1533-position model. The record is from RNAcentral.
GAUGAACGCUGGCGGCGUGCCUAAUACAUGCAAGUCGAGCGAACAGACGAGGAGCUUGCUCCUCUGACGUUAGCGGCGGACGGGUGAGUAACACGUGGAUAACCUACCUAUAAGACUGGGAUAACUUCGGGAAACCGGAGCUAAUACCGUAUAAUAUAUUGAACCGCAUGGUUCAAUAGUGAAAGACGGUUUUGCUGUCACUUAUAGAUGGAUCCGCGCCGCAUUAGCUAGUUGGUAAGGUAACGGCUUACAAAGGCGACGAUGCGUAGCCGACCUGAGAGAGUGAUAGGCCACACUGGAACUGAGACACGGUCCAGACUCCUACGGGAGGCAGCAGUAGGGAAUCUUACGCAAUGGGCGAAAGCCUGACGGAGCAACGCCGCGUGAGUGAUGAAGGUCUUCGGAUCGUAAAACUCUGUUAUUAGGGAAGAACAAAUGUGUAAGUAACUAUGCACGUCUUGACGGUACCUAAUCAGAAAGCCACGGCUAACUACGUG